GUGGGCGCGCGGUCGAUCGAGCGAUCGGUUGGCGGCUCUUUCUCCUGCUCUGGCAUCCAGCUCUUGGGGCGCAGGCCCGGCCGCCGCGGCGCGCGCCCGGUGGCCGUUGGCGCUCGCGCCGCGUCUUUCUUCUCGUACGCAGAACUCGGGCGGCGGCCUAUGCGUUUGCGAUUCGACGAGGAGUCGUCCGGGUGGUCGGUGGUGGGGGGCAGUUGCUCCGCCCCGCUCCGGGGGAGGCGGCGGCGGCAGCGGGAUUUGGCGCGGCAGGGGAAGCGGGGGUGGCCGGCGCCGGCCUGGAGGCCUGGCGCCACCCUUCCGGGCCUGCACGGACCCAGUUGGGGGGCCAGGAGGGGGCCGGAGGAUGGUUGGUGGUGGGCUUUCUACUUUGCCUUUUUCUCCUCAUGCCGCCUUAGUGAGGGGCGGGAGCUCUGGCGGCAGCUCCGGGGAGGGGAGAAGAGCUCCAGAGUCGAAAGACCUGAGUUUGCCUCCGGGCCUAGCCACCAGCUGGCCGAGUGACCUUAGGCAAGUCACCCUGUAAUUUGUCUGCGCCUCAGUUUCCUCCUCUGCCUGUCAAUGUGUGUGGAAUUGAAAGCGCUUUGUAAACUACAAAGCGUUGGUGUACGUAAAGGAUGAUUAUUGUUUGUGAUGUUUUUUGAGUUGUAAGACAAUUUAACAAUUAUCCAGUUCUUGCAUUUGAACCUGAAAACCUUGGAUUGGAGUUAGAGGAUCUCAAACUCCCUGAAAUUGUAUGCAGAAAUUUGUGGGAAUGGUUAGUUUUGCGGAAUGAUGAUCUAUCGCUAGCAAGUUUUCAGUGGGGGAUGUGACACAUGAUUAUUUUAUGCCACAGGGAGGAAACUGAGGCCUAGAUGUCAUUUGGGACCCUUCACAACCAAUUUGAAGCCCCUGUUUGAGUCCCUGGGAUAUGUGAGCUGUUUCUAUGCAUAAUGGAUAUUCGGGGUAACCACACUCCCCUGCUUGGCUUCUACUUUGAAUUCCCUUUCACCGUGGGGUGCCUGAAGGGUGGCUGAUGCAUAUGGUACAAUGGCACCCAGUAUAAAGCAGCUACAAUUAGACGUGGAUGUGUUCUGUAGUAUCAAGAAGCUUAUUUAAUCUUUGGCCCAGCAACUCUUUGUUUUGUGCUGCUUGUACUGGUGCCUGACUACGUUUUUGACUCUUUGACCAUUUUCCACAACCAUGGUUGCCAUCCAUUACUUGCUCCUACUUUUUAUUCCUAGUCUGUAUGGUUGGUAGUGAAAAGGCUUAUUUUUAAAUGGUGCUGCCAAGCCUAGCUAAUUAAUGGUGUGUGUGGAUUUUUAGCAAGUGGGCUCACUGGAACAGACUGAACCAGGCUUGCAAUUCCUGAAGAUGUUUGGGGUUUUUUAUUAACUGAAGGUUAACAUUGUCUGGAGAGUUUUGUUAGAUCUCCUGCAGAACCUCAAAAUCGGUAGAUUUGGAAGUGAUUCAAAGCUUAACUUUUUCCUAGCCUGCCUUGUAUUCAAAUUGCUUGCAAUUGUGAUACUAAGAUGGCCAAAAUGCCACGUUUUGCUUCUUUGUUAAUUGUCAGCUGCUUUUAUCAAAUUCCAGGCCAUUAUCCAGCAAGCACUAAAAAUGUUUGAACAGUUGGAUUUCAAACAUUUUCAUUUUGUGGAGUGGUGCUUACCAAGUGGUACAGCUCUAAGCAAGUGAACACAAACACAUUUUAAGUGUAUUUUGUCUGAUUAGAUGUUAGCCAAUUAUACUAUUUCAUUCAAAUGUCUGAAAAAAUCAGUUGACUAUUCCUUUUACCUAAAGAGCAGAGACAAAUAAUCUCACUUCCAGAGAAAUGACUGUUUUGAAGAAAAAUGUGUUGGUCUUUUAGCUCUUUUAUAAGUAAAUCUGGAUGUACCUCAAAAGAAUCUUAAGACUGUGGUGAUAAGAUGCUUUCCUCUGAAGAAAAGAGGCAGAAGACAACUGGAACUCAAAGCUUGAAAUUCUUUGUUAAAACAGUAUGUCCAGGAUUGAAGGUUGAAAAAUGUUUCACUACAGUGUUCUGCAAUAGUUCGAGCAGAUGUCUUUCAUUGUAGCUGCAGCUAUGGACUCCAGAUUUCUAAAUUUUCAAGAACUGGACCUGAAACCUGAAAGAGCUUGUCAGGAUGUGGCAGGAACACUGGAGGUAGAUUAUUUUUUAUUUUUCAAUUUUGGGACUGUUGACCUUGCUGUGAGAAGAAAGGCAACGACUGAGCAAGCACUGCCACCAGCGCUGUUACUGGGAAUUAGAAGACAUGAGUUUUUGUCUAGAUCCUCAGUGCAAAUUGAGGAUGCUUCAUCCAAAGUGAAUUACGUCCUGUGCCUCCUGAUUGCUGAGUGUUCACCUGGACCUUCUGACUACCUUCCUUCUGCUAUUCCAUCAGCCUACAGAUCUGGUACCUGGAUUUUUGCCCAUGGUGAUUCCUACCACCUUACUACUGAAGAAGAUACCAUUCCAGUGGACCACUGUGACCCAAGAGACAUUCAGCCAUUAUGAUGUGGCCUUUUACCUCCACUCCUGUCCUGUUCUACCCAGCACAGCCCUUUGUAGUGAAGUCAGAGUCCUUGAGCCAAACAGCUGAAGCUAUUUUAUCACAACAAAGACCUAGUUUGUUCUAUGAGUGUGCAUUUCAUUUCUUCAAUUAAAGCCUUCAGAGAGACACAAUAAAUUUGGACCAGGGGAUUUUUAGUUAUUAAUGCUAUCUGAAGAAAAGCAACAUGAGAACAGCAUUGGGCUAUACCCCACAAUUGCAAAUGAUGAAGUUCAUGAACUAUCUAGGAUACCAUCAAGGUCACUGGACCCUGUUCUUUUUCUACUUCAAAUGUAUAGUCACCUGAAUGAGAAAGCAGAUAUUCUCAUAUCCAACCCAAUGGGAUCAAAACAAAGGCACAGUGAACUCAUAGCAUCAUCUUUGGGAUUACUCAGGAAUCAGGACUUUUCACACAAAUGUAAGAAACUCUACCAAGGAAUCCCUUUACCUAACAGCAUCUCACAAGGCUCCAAUCAGAUGUCAGAAAAGGCCUCUUGAUACAUCAAGCAUUUUGUGAACAACUUAUUCUUAGAUCAAUGGUUUUCCAAAGGCUUUGUGGCCGUGAAGCCCUUUGAAUGAAAAUUAUGUGGAAGCCCAGAGUAAAAAAUGAAGCUGCUCUGGAUGAAGCAGUGAAGCAGGCAUAGGGGCCUGAAGCCUGCCACAGCAUCUUCCUUUACUACCAUGGUGACACCUAAGGGGACUUCCUUGCAACACCUAGAACUCUUCAGAACACAGUUUGAAAACCACUGCCCUAGACAGCAAUAUGUUUGACCUAAAUGACAUUCUGAUCUUUUUCUGUACCUCCACUCAACACAAUCCAUGUUCAGUCAAUGCUGAAUAUUGUUAGGAAUACUGUGUGCAAACUUAGAAAAGUGAAAGAUGGGCAUGUCUUUGCCCCCCAAAAUAGUCAUAUGGGCUGAAAGUGGUGUCAAGUGAACCUAGAUCAACAGCCCUCUACCCCAGAUGGACUUCCAGUGACUGGAAUCGGAUAUAGCCAGAGAGCAGUUCUGUGCACCCUACACUGACAAACCCCCUUAACCAACUUCAUUCACAAACAAGAUGUUCUAGUGGUAUUUGAAGUACAUGAUUUUGAAGUCUUGAUUCUCCGUGGAUACCAGAAUUGCCAGCAAGCUGGUAUUGAAGGUGGUGACUUAUUGGACCUAUUAGACCUAUAUUAGACCAACCUGUACAUUUGAGCUCUCAUCAGCCAUGGUACUCUACUUCAUGUGCAAGAGAUAGCCAUUAACUAUGAAAGCAGAAUUCAUAUGCUGCCAACAUUUCCCAAAGGGGUUCAGUACCUGUUUAUCACUCAUCUUUUCAAACUACAAGUCACUGUAUUACUCAACUAGUGGCAGUUACACUGUUGCUUGGGGAGUUUUGUUUUCAGUUUUUCUAUCAUUUCCAAGAUAAAUGAGCUCGUAACCUUAAACAAAAGUCCCAAAAAAAUCCUCCUUCAGUGGCAUAUCUGCCUAUUCACCAGUAUCAUGACUACUCAGCUCUAACUACAUGUAACAGCUGAUCCUUAAGAGAUAAUCUUGGACCAUCCCAUCUCAUAAAUGUGAUUUAAAGUGUAACCAUUGGAAAAUUUCUUCUAGCCAGUAAGAGAUGUUUUUUUAAGAUGAGUCUUUUGAUGUCUGAUGCCAUCAACUAUAGGUGGUAGGCAUAGUUGGAGGCAGACUCUUUGGACAGGCCAUGAGUGGUUACUUGCUCUGGCAUUUAAAAUAGUUUAUUGCCUACAUUUUUGCUGGAAACAUUGACUGACUUGAAAAAAAAAAAUCUACAAAGACUGCAGCUAAAGAUUUUGCUAGUAGACUCAAGAGCCUCUGUCCUUGUGGAUGUUACAGUGGAAUCACAUCUGUCUCAAUACUGUCGUUUUACACUGAUUCAGAGUCGCCGACUUCAUUCCUUGCCAUGAGAUACUCUCAGGCAUUAAGACAACCUGUUUCUGCAGGAAGGAUUCAAUUCAUAAAGUCUCAGACCAUGUUGAAACAAGGAGACUUCAUGUGUGUCAUGAGAAAAUCUCAUUCCUUUAUGUCAUAGUCAAUUUAAGGGCCAGCUAUCCUGAGCUACUCUAAUGAAUGCACUGGUAAAACAUUGGGAAUGGUUUCUUUAUAUCCUUGUCUCUUAUCUUCUAAACUAAUAGUAAUUACAUGACUGAUUCUACAUGUCGUCAAAUGAGGCCUAGGUCUGGUUCCUCUAGACUGCUAACCUUCAACAAAUUAAAAUCUGGCCUGGUUAUAUAUACAAAUGUUAUUUGUAAAAGAAGAAAUUACCUUCAAGCUCAAUUUUCUACCUUCAAGUUGUCGGCUUUUUUUCCCUCUGUUUUUUCCUGUACUUUACAGGAAAAGACAUUGAUCUGUACUGCCAGUCAUUGCCUCCUUAGAUGAGUUUAAGGAUGAUCAUCUGCUCGAGGGUCUUUAAUGUACACUGAAUAUAAGACUUGGUGAUUGGAAAAACAGUAAGCCUAAAACAAACCUAGGAGUUUGCCUACUAUCUCCAUGCCUCAAAUCUCAUCUAAAUCUUUCAGCAGCACCAUUCAACCAAUGUGAGGCCUUGUUUGUAAGAUGUUUCUCAGAGAUGGGCUAAGUUAACAGAAGGUGAACACUGAUUACCAAAGAAAGUAGGGCCAACUUUGACAAACAUGGCUCUGCUGACCCCUGUGGCUCCCAGAUGUAGCAUAGACUCCUAAACAGAACCUCAAGUCUGGAUUGAGAAUAUGGCCGCCUCCUGAGCUGAAAGUUCUCGGGCAGAUGAGCAGAAAAAUGAAAGCUGGUGUACCUGACGGGCCCUUUCAGAUUGGAAAAUUAUAUCCAGAGUAACCCCUAUGGAUUAACCCUGAAGUACCAAGGGUAAAACUAAUUUACAGAGCUGCAUUAUUAAUCUUCCUGUUCCUCCAGAUCAUAGCCUGGCUAUUGGUAUGUCUGGCCCUACUGAAGGUACCUUGUUUAUUUACCCGACUCAGCUCUUGCCUGCCUUUUCUGACAUGUUGCCGCAAUCAGACUGACCUUGAAAAGACUGUAGCCGAUUUUAGCCUAUCUUGUGCCUAACUCCACCAAGGAUUUUUGAAUAGAAGCAACCCACACCUCACCCCACCAGGACAUAAUGUUCACAACAGGAGUGACCAUGCUUUACACUCCUUGACCAGCAGCUUUUUAAAGAUUUUAAGUAUAGAAUGAGCUUCUAUGCUUGCCUACUGUUUGAUCAUUUUCAUCACCUAGGACCUCACCUAUCCUAUGUGGAAGGAGCACAGCAGAUCAAAAGCAGUGUCUAUUUCUCUCUUCUACAGUUAAUACAGAGAUGAGUCUGAUUCAUCAGUACUCAUAGAAAUGUACCGGUUCAACUUGGCAAAAGACUUAAGGGAACACAAGAAAAGUUUUCUGUUGAACUUAAAAUUUACCACUGACUCAAAUAACCUCACAGAACUUUUUGCCAGUGAAAGGAAGUUGUCUUGCUUCACAUCAGUGGAUGGUUGGGCUCUCAGACUCAUGAUCACUGAGUUUGCUUAUGUUGAAACUCUAUGGUAUCAUCCAAAGUAUGCUAUUGGACAUGAUUGUUAUUCCAUUCAAAUGGACUGCAGACUUCCUGCGAACGGGACAAACUUAUCCCUCAUGGUGUGUGUGUUGUUGUUGUUUUUCCUUAAGAAUACGUUUAUUACCAAGGAAGAAACAAUGCCAGCUGUUACCAUUCAACUUCAAGAGCAGAGGUUAAGCUUUUUCCUGUGUCUCAUCUUAUCCUGGACAUCAGUUGUUUUUCAUUGCCCAGCAUCUGUUCCAUCUCAUUGUAAGAACUUGCUGAUGUUUCUUGGGACCACGUCUUCCUGUUUUUAGUCCACGUGGUUUGAAGAGUCUGACCCAACCUUGGGCUUCGUGUAAUUCGGACCUCAUCAAUCAGCAAAUCCCAUCUCCUUGACCAUAGUGAUUGGUUCAGGAAUGGUUGUGUGAUUCAAGUUGGUCCAGUGAUACUCAACCCUAGGAGUUUUACUAAACUGUGGAGGAGGAGAAGCUCUCUUUAUUGAGGUGCUUUAGCUUUGUAGAAUGAAAAACUCAAACCAACAGGGCCUACCAUAUUGAAUGAACCAGUCAAAGAAUGAAGCCAGUGCAGAGGAAAGCAGAGCCAAAAUAUAGAGAGACUUGAAUCCUGAUGACAACAUUUGUGCCCCUGGAUCCAACCGUGCCUGAAGCUAGUAUAUCCCCUGGACUUUUCAGUUAUGUGAACCAAUAAAUACCGUUUUUUGCUUAAGUUA
This is a non-coding RNA of Microcebus murinus (gray mouse lemur), 6780 nucleotides long. NCBI's taxonomy places the organism in Eukaryota, Metazoa, Chordata, Mammalia, Primates, Cheirogaleidae. The record is from RefSeq and is a predicted model, not a curated record.